RNAcentral lists this ribosomal RNA (253 nucleotides) under uncultured bacterium. Its description in RNAcentral is "partial 16S ribosomal RNA". It matches the Rfam family "Bacterial small subunit ribosomal RNA", at positions 524 to 776 of the family's 1533-position model. The record is from RNAcentral.
UACAGAGACUGCAAGCGUUAUUCGGAUUCACUGGGCGUAAAGGGUGCGCAGGCGGCCAAGUGUGUUAGAUGUGAAAUCCCGGGGCUCAACCCCGGAACUGCGUCUAAAACUACUUGGCUAGAGCAUUGGAGAGGGUAGCGGAAUUCACGGUGUAGCAGUGAAAUGCGUAGAUAUCGUGAGGAACACCAGAGGCGAAGGCGGCUACCUGGACAAUUGCUGACGCUCAGGCACGAAAGCGUGGGGAGCAAAAGGG